CGGCGGACGGGUGAGUAAUGCCUAGGAAUCUGCCUGGUAGUGGGGGAUAACGUCCGGAAACGGACGCUAAUACCGCAUACGUCCUACGGGAGAAAGCAGGGGACCUUCGGGCCUUGCGCUAUCAGAUGAGCCUAGGUCGGAUUAGCUAGUUGGUGGGGUAAUGGCUCACCAAGGCGACGAUCCGUAACUGGUCUGAGAGGAUGAUCAGUCACACUGGAACUGAGACACGGUCCAGACUCCUACGGGAGGCAGCAGUGGGGAAUAUUGGACAAUGGGCGAAAGCCUGAUCCAGCCAUGCCGCGUGUGUGAAGAAGGUCUUCGGAUUGUAAAGCACUUUAAGUUGGGAGGAAGGGCAGUAAAUUAAUACUUUGCUGUUUUGACGUUACCGACAGAAUAAGCACCGGCUAACUCUGUGCCAGCAGCCGCGGUAAUACAGAGGGUGCAAGCGUUAAUCGGAAUUACUGGGCGUAAAGCGCGCGUAGGUGGUUCGUUAAGUUGGAUGUGAAAUCCCCGGGCUCAACCUGGGAACUGCAUU
This 535-nucleotide ribosomal RNA is filed under the name uncultured bacterium. RNAcentral's name for it is "bacterial SSU rRNA". It matches the Rfam family "Bacterial small subunit ribosomal RNA", at positions 96 to 627 of the family's 1533-position model. The record is from RNAcentral.